This 4331-nucleotide long non-coding RNA is filed under the name Capsicum annuum. Its description in RNAcentral is "long non-coding RNA (CANN_LNC017552)". Lineage: Eukaryota; Viridiplantae; Streptophyta; Magnoliopsida; Solanales; Solanaceae. The record is from RNAcentral.
AAUAGUGUAAAAUAGAUAUUUAAAAAGACAAAUAAGAAAAAGAAAGGAAAGUAUUUAUUAUUAAAAUUAAGAAGGGAGUUUAAUUUUUAAAAUAAAAUAAAAGAGAAAAAUGAUUUUCUUCCUUUAAAAUUUUGUAUAAAAAAGGAAAAAAGAAGAAGACAUAUAGGGAGAUAAACAGCAAGGCCAAGAGGCCAACACCAAAAAUCUUUUGCCUUGACUUCUUUUCCUCUCUCUAGCUGUCACGCCGCUCCGCCCCUUUCCCCUUUGCUAGUUUAAAUUUGCUAUCUUUAAUUUUAAUUUUCUAUUACUUAAGUUUUAAUUUUCUCUUCUUUCUAUUAUUGUUCGAGAAUAUUUUUAUCUUUUUCUUGAAGCUGUUAUGAUCGUAGAUAUUGAAACAAUUUUUUUUAUUUAUUUAUGUAAAUUGGUUUUCAUCAAUCUAUGGUGAACAAUGGUGACUCUAUUUUAUAUUGAGUUAAAUCGAAGCUAAAGUAAAUUGGACUUUUACUUUCUAAAUAUUUUUCUUUUUGAGUAAAAUUGAUGUCUUUUUAUUGUACACACCAUUAGAAUCAAAUAUUUGUUAUUGUAAAUUUACAGAUAUCAAUAGAUUUUUAAAACUUUGUUAAAAGAAACUUUUCAUGGAAAAGAUUGAAUUGUUUGGAUCUUGUGAUUUCUUUGAAGAUUAUUGAGUUUCAUUAUCUUACGAAAAUUGGUCAUAUAAGAAUGUAAUAGGAGAUUUUGAUAAAGAUAUUUUAGGUAAAGCAUAUUGUUACAAUACCUUUUAAAUUAUAUAUAGGAUACAAUUGGUUUUGCUUUUUAGUAUUAAUUUAUUUUAUCAAAAAUUCAUAGGGGUAAAGUGUAAUUUGAAAUAUUCUUAUAAAAUCGAAACCGAAUCAAUAACCUAAUAAUUUUUUUUUUUAUAAAACCAUUAAAAAAACGUUAACCCAAUAAACCAACAACUCAACAACAAUAAACCAAUAAUAUUUUAUUGGUUCGAUUUAUUGAUCAGUUCAAUUUUUACAUCCCCUAAUGAAAAUCACCCUGUCUUCUAUUGAUGGAGGAAUAAGUGUUAGUCAAUGUUGAUUAGUUGGAAAAAAAUUAAAGAAGAAGGAAGAGGGAAACUACUAAAAAAAGGCCAAAAAGCGACGGCCAAAAGCGACAUCCAGCGUCGCUUUUUUGGUCAAAACCGAAGAAAAAGCGUCGCUUUUUUUUUCACCUCAAAAAGGCCCAUUUAUUUUAAAAUCGACGGUAUGCAUCGCUUUUUUUACGACGGACAACGUCCUUUUUGAAAAAAAAAAUUAGUUACUUUUAAAAAAAGCGAUGUUGUGCGUCGUUUUUUGUUCUUCAUGUGAAGAACACAUGAUGAACAAAAAACGACGCAUAGCGUCGUUUUAUUGAAGGAAAAAUAAAAAAAAAAACAAAAAAAAAAGACAUUGUCCGUCAUAUUUUGAGAAAAAUAAAAUCUUUUUUUUCAUAAUGAAGACAAAAAUCAACGUUGGCCUUCGCUUUUUAAAAAUUUUAUUUUAAAAAAUUCCAGAAAAGCGACGGACAAAAUGGACCAUAUCCGUCGCUUUUCUGCAUUCUUUUUGAAUGCAAAAAUAUGCACUUUUUGCAUCCCACCUGCCAAAUAAAAAUGCAAUCCAAUAUAUACAGCCUCAUGCAACACACAUUUCUAAAAUAAUCAUACAACGCACUACAUUAUCAAAACAUUUAAGCAAUUCAAAUCAACAACGCAUAAACAAUCAAAUCCAAAAUACAAAACACUUAAUAAUUAAUCCAAUAACCACCAAAACACUUGAACAAUCCGAAAGUUUUUUCAUUGGAGUCUACAGGUGUCCGAGAUUUCUUUUUAGCAGUUGACUUUGAACUCUUAUCAAGACGAGACCAAUCACCGUCACCAUCGGAUGUCAUUUGUAUGCAAGUUUACAUCAAAACAUAUAAAAAUAAAGUCAUUAGUUCAUAUUUCAUGUGACUACACUUACUACUUUCAAGUUACUAGUACACAUUUCAAGAUACUACACUCAAACCAUUUUCAAAUAUUUAACUGACAUUUUAUUUCACUAUACUUAACCAUUUAAAAAUAAGUAGUAGACAUUUCAAGUAACUACACUUAACCAUUUUCAAGUCACUACUACACGUUUAAGUCAUUAUACUUAAACAUUUUCAAAUAACUAAUUUACAUUGAAAGUCACCACACUUAAAAUAUUUUCAAGUCGCUAAUAUACAUUUCAAAUCACUACACUUAACUAUUUUCAAUUAACUAAAUCACAUUUCAAGUCAAUAUACUUAAUCAUUUUCAAGUGACUAUACUUUAUUAUUUUAAAGUUAUUAGUACACAUUUCAAGUGACUACACUUAACCAUUUUUAAGCAUUCAUGUACUAGCAUUUCAAGUCACUACACUUAACUAUUUUCAAUUAACUAAUUCACAUUUUAAAGUCACUAUACUUAACUAUUUUCAAAUAACUACACUUAAUCAUUUUCAAGUUACUAGUACACAUUUCAAGUCACUACACCCAAACCAUUUUCAAAUAGCUAACUAACAUUUCAAGUCACUAUACUUAAGCAUUUUCAAAUAACUACACUUAACCAUUUUCAAGUCACUAGUACACAUUUCAAGUCACUACACUUAACCAUUUUCAAAUAAGUAGUAGACAUUUCAAGUCACUAAACUUAACCAUUUUUAAAUAACUAAUUCACAUUUCAAGUCACCACACUUAACCAUUUUCAAAUAAUUAAUUCACAUUUCAAGUCACCACACUUAACCAUUUUCAAAUAAUUAAUUCACAUUUAAAAUAACUAUACUUAACCGUUUUCAAGUCACUACACUUAAUCAUUCAUUUCAAGUCACUAUACUUAACCACUUUCAAGUAACUAAUUCUCACUAUACUUAACCAUUUUCAAGUAACUACACUUAACCAUUUUCAAGUCAUAAACUAGCAUUUCAAGUCACUAUACUUAAUCAUUUUCAAGUCACAAGUUCUCAAUUUCAAGUAACUACAUUUAAUCAUUUUCAAGUCACUGUACUUAAUAAUUUUCAAAUAACUUAUUCACAUUUCAAGUCACUACACUUAAACUAUUUUCAAUUAACGAAUUCAUAUUUUUAAGUCACUAUACUUAACCAUUUUUAAGUAACUACACUUAACCAUUUUCAAGUCAUGUACUAGCAUUUCAAGUCACUACACUUAAACUAUUUUCAAUUAACGAAUUCAUAUUUUUAAGUCACUAUACUUAACCAUUUUCAAAUAACUACAUGUAACCAUUUUCAAGUCACUAGUACACAUUUCAAGUCACUACAUUUAAUCAUUUUUAAAUAACUAAUUCACAUUACAAGUCACUAUACUUAACUAUUUUUAAUUAACUAAUUCAUAUUUCAAGUCAAUAUACUUAAUCAUUUUCAAGUGAAUAUACUUUAUUAUUUUAAAGUUAUUAAUACACAUUUCAAGUGACUACACUUAACCAUCUCAAGUCUCAAGUUCACAAUUUCAAGUAACUACACUUAACCGUUUUCAAGUCACAAGUUCGUAAUUUCAAGUAACUACACUUAAUCAUUUUUAAGUAACUACAAUUAACCAUUUUCAAUUCACUAUAAUGCAUAGGAAAUAUCUUUUAUGAACGAAAUAAUCAUUACUUGACGAUUUGUUAAAGCAAUAACGAAAUUAAAUCAAAAUUUAAAGUAAAAAUCACGAAAAUUUUAAUCUAGAAAACUGAUUGCUAACAAGGCAAACAAACAUGCAACUUAAGGUAUUGAGAAAUCAAAUCGAACAAUAAUCGCAGAUAAGUUCAUCACCUGUGUCCUGAUUUCGCUAUUCUUGGGGUCCCUUUCGACCAAAAUUAGCGAAACGGUUGCAUUGUUGUUGCUAUUUCACAGGCGACAGUGAUGGUUGCUGCUCAGAGAAGGAGAACGGAGAGGGAAACGACAUUGACUAGCUGGAGCUGGUGAUGUAGCGGUUGCUGGUGUCAGUUCUCAUUGGAAGAGAAGGAGAGAGAGGGGCGCCGAUGGGUUUCACUAUUUGGUGGCAGUUUUUGAUAAAUCGUCGCCAGUUAAGCACCGAUUGGAGGUGGUUGCUGGUAGCGUGGCGGCACUUAGCUGGACGGCGGCAUCGAGAGAAGUAAAGGAGGAAGGCAGUGGUGCGACGCUCAUUUUUGCCAAACCUGGGCGGGUUCAUUGAUGGGUGGAGGACACCGGUGGGUAGGUGAUUGGAUCAACGGUGGGGUCCGCCAUCUGGUGGCAUGAGGGCUGCGACAUCGCCGCUUGAUUGAUGAUGGAGAAAAGGUUUAGGGAGGGAGAAAGAUUGCAGAGAGAGAGAGGGAGAUAAGGUGUGCCUGUUUGUGG